CGCAGGCCGCCGCUGUGAGGGCCCGCCCGCGGUGGGGGCGGUUGGGGCCCUGAGGGUGGCGGCGGUUGGAGCCGCCCGCGCGCCGGAGCGGCCUGCGGGCGCGGCCCGCGCUCGGCCCCGCACCGACAGCCGCUGCGAGGGCGGUGCGGCCGGGGCUGCUGGGCCCCUCCCGCCGCCGACGGGCUCCGGCCGCUUUCGCGGGCGCUCUGCCGUCCGUGUGGCGGGUGAGUCGUUUGCCUCGGCUGUUUUGUGAAGGUAGGAAAUGGCCAAGCCCUUGUGGAAGCCGUCCCGGAGGAGUCAGGUCAACUUGAAGGAACAAAUAAAAGAGAGAAACAAGAAAUCGGCAGGGCUGGGGAAAGCCUGCGAGCCCUCGUCUACGAGUGUCAGCGGCACGACCAGCAGCCCCGCGCAGCUGAAGAGCAUCCAAGCCAACAACAGAGCUCUAGCGCUGGCUUUGCAGGAGGAGAAGCUCAAAGUGAGAGAAGCCCGAGAUGCCUUUCUGUUGUUAAAGGGAGAGAAUCAAUGCCUGAAGUUUCAGAUCUUUUGUUUACAAGCACUGCUUCGGUCACAGCAAUUGCAGAAUGUGGGAAUGUUUCCUUCAGUGCCUGUAAUGAUUCCUGUUGUCACUGGACAAGAGCAUUGUGCGGGAGUUCCACAGCAUAUUGUGAAACUUGGAGAAAUCCCUGAGAGUAAGAUGAAGGCCGCAACAGAUGACAGUAAGCCAGAUGGCUUUGUUUCAGAGGACCACUGUGAAUCUGCCAGUCUCUAUGCCAUAAAGGAAGUAGAAACAGAGUGUGGGGAAUCUUUUGAGCCUUCUUGUGAAUGUCUCCAGAACGUUACUGGCACGGCGUGCUCCCGCCUCAGCACUGGGGUAACAGCUGUUUACCCAGCACAUGAAAGGCCACUACCUCUGAAACACAGGCAGCGUGGUCCCAGGAACCGUGUAUGUGUCCUACUUCUUAGCUCCAUGUAGUGAAGUACUGUGGUCUGUCUUAAAAGGCAGGAUAUGGCAGGGGUUAUUUUGGGCAGGAAGGCCUUUGAAGAGGG
This 1047-nucleotide long non-coding RNA is filed under the name Calidris pygmaea (Spoon-billed sandpiper). Its description in RNAcentral is "lncRNA (ENSCPGG00000016249.1)". The record is from RNAcentral. Lineage: Eukaryota; Metazoa; Chordata; Aves; Charadriiformes; Scolopacidae.